GGGCGAUUAGCUCAGCGGGAGAGCACUGCCUUCACACGGCAGGGGUCGCAGGUUCGAACCCUGCAUCGCCCACCA
RNAcentral lists this transfer RNA (75 nucleotides) under Mariprofundus ferrooxydans. Its description in RNAcentral is "tRNA-Val". It matches the Rfam family "tRNA". From Rfam's summary of the family: Transfer RNA (tRNA) molecules are approximately 80 nucleotides in length. Their secondary structure includes four short double-helical elements and three loops (D, anti-codon, and T loops). Lineage: Bacteria; Pseudomonadati; Pseudomonadota; Candidatius Mariprofundia; Mariprofundales; Mariprofundaceae. The record is from RNAcentral. RNAcentral also lists the same sequence under 10 other names.